AGUGAACGCUGGCGGUAGGCCUAACACAUGCAAGUCGAACGGCAGCACAGUAAGAGCUUGCUCUUACGGGUGGCGAGUGGCGGACGGGUGAGGAAUACAUCGGAAUCUACUUUUUCGUGGGGGAUAACGUAGGGAAACUUACGCUAAUACCGCAUACGACCUACGGGUGAAAGCAGUGGAUCUUCGGACCUUGCGCGAUUGAAUUAGCCGAUGUCGGAUUAGCUAGUUGGCGGGGUAAAGGCCCACCAAGGCGACGAUCCGUAGCUGGUCUGAGAGGAUGAUCAGCCACACUGGAACUGAGACACGGUCCAGACUCCUACGGGAGGCAGCAGUGGGGAAUAUUGGACAAUGGGCGCAAGCAUGAUCCAGCCAUACCGCGUGGGUGAAGAAGGCCUUCGGGUUGUAAAGCCCUUUUGUUGGGAAAGAAAAGCAGCAGGUUAAUACCCCGAUGUUCUGACGGUACCCAAAGAAUAAGCACCGGCUAACUUCGUG
Molecule: ribosomal RNA, 492 nt
Filed under: uncultured bacterium
Lineage: Bacteria
Description: partial 16S ribosomal RNA
Rfam family: Bacterial small subunit ribosomal RNA
Source: RNAcentral